This 162-nucleotide ribosomal RNA is filed under the name Rhinella manu. RNAcentral's name for it is "partial 16S ribosomal RNA". Lineage: Eukaryota; Metazoa; Chordata; Amphibia; Anura; Bufonidae. The record is from RNAcentral.
UCAGACCGGAGAAAUCCAGGUCAGUUUCUAUCUAUAUAAUUUUUUUUCCUAGUACGAAAGGACCGGAAAAGUGUGGCCUAUAUAAACACAAGCCACAACUACCAAGUUAUGAUUUAAUCUCAAUAACACCGUAGCCUAAAAUAAUUUUCUAAACAAGAACCG